AGUGAACGCUGGCGGUAGGCCUAACACAUGCAAGUCGAACGGCAGCACAGUAAGAGCUUGCUCUUACGGGUGGCGAGUGGCGGACGGGUGAGGAAUACAUCGGAAUCUACUUUUUCGUGGGGGAUAACGUAGGGAAACUUACGCUAAUACCGCAUACGACCUACGGGUGAAAGCAGGGGAUCUUCGGACCUUGCGCGAUUGAAUGAGCCGAUGUCGGAUUAGCUAGUUGGCGGGGUAAAGGCCCACCAAGGCGACGAUCCGUAGCUGGUCUGAGAGGAUGAUCAGCCACACUGGAACUGAGACACGGUCCAGACUCCUACGGGAGGCAGCAGUGGGGAAUAUUGGACAAUGGGCGCAAGCCUGAUCCAGCCAUACCGCGUGGGUGAAGAAGGCCUUCGGGUUGUAAAGACCUUUUGUUGGGAAAGAAAAGCAGCAGGUUAAUACCCCGCCGUUCUGACGGUACCCAAAGAAUAAGCACCGGCUAACUUCGUG
This 492-nucleotide ribosomal RNA is filed under the name uncultured bacterium. RNAcentral's name for it is "partial 16S ribosomal RNA". It matches the Rfam family "Bacterial small subunit ribosomal RNA", at positions 29 to 507 of the family's 1533-position model. The record is from RNAcentral.